GGGGAAUUUUGGACAAUGGGCGAAAGCCUGAUCCAGCAAUGCCGCGUGCAGGAUGAAGGCCUUCGGGUUGUAAACUGCUUUUGUACGGAACGAAAAGGCUCUGGCUAAUACCUGGGGCACAUGACGGUACCGUAAGAAUAAGCACCGGCUAACUACGUGCCAGCAGCCGCGGUAAUACGUAGGGUGCGAGCGUUAAUCGGAAUUACUGGGCGUAAAGCGUGCGCAGGCGGUUUUGUAAGACAGAGGUGAAAUCCCCGGGCUCAACCUGGGAACUGCCUUUGUGACUGCAAAGCUGGAGUGCGGCAGAGGGGGAUGGAAUUCCGCGUGUAGCAGUGAAAUGCGUAGAUAUGCGGAGGAACACCGAUGGCGAAGGCAAUCCCCUGGGCCUGCACUGACGCUCAUGCACGAAAGCGUGGGGAGCAAACA
RNAcentral lists this ribosomal RNA (426 nucleotides) under uncultured Comamonadaceae bacterium. Its description in RNAcentral is "bacterial SSU rRNA". It matches the Rfam family "Bacterial small subunit ribosomal RNA", at positions 356 to 774 of the family's 1533-position model. The record is from RNAcentral. Lineage: Bacteria; Pseudomonadati; Pseudomonadota; Betaproteobacteria; Burkholderiales; Comamonadaceae.